RNAcentral lists this ribosomal RNA (1159 nucleotides) under Pediococcus pentosaceus. Its description in RNAcentral is "bacterial SSU rRNA". It matches the Rfam family "Bacterial small subunit ribosomal RNA", at positions 33 to 1146 of the family's 1533-position model. The record is from RNAcentral. Lineage: Bacteria; Bacillati; Bacillota; Bacilli; Lactobacillales; Lactobacillaceae.
ACGCUAGGCGGCGUGCCUAAUACAUGCAAGUCGAACGAACUUCCGUUAAUUGAUUAUGACGUACUUGUACUGAUUGAGAUUUUAACACGAAGUGAGUGGCGAACGGGUGAGUAACACGUGGGUAACCUGCCCAGAAGUAGGGGAUAACACCUGGAAACAGAUGCUAAUACCGUAUAACAGAGAAAACCGCAUGGUUUUCUUUUAAAAGAUGGCUCUGCUAUCACUUCUGGAUGGACCCGCGGCGUAUUAGCUAGUUGGUGAGGUAAAGGCUCACCAAGGCAGUGAUACGUAGCCGACCUGAGAGGGUAAUCGGCCACAUUGGGACUGAGACACGGCCCAGACUCCUACGGGAGGCAGCAGUAGGGAAUCUUCCACAAUGGACGCAAGUCUGAUGGAGCAACGCCGCGUGAGUGAAGAAGGGUUUCGGCUCGUAAAGCUCUGUUGUUAAAGAAGAACGUGGGUAAGAGUAACUGUUUACCCAGUGACGGUAUUUAACCAGAAAGCCACGGCUAACUACGUGCCAGCAGCCGCGGUAAUACGUAGGUGGCAAGCGUUAUCCGGAUUUAUUGGGCGUAAAGCGAGCGCAGGCGGUCUUUUAAGUCUAAUGUGAAAGCCUUCGGCUCAACCGAAGAAGUGCAUUGGAAACUGGGAGACUUGAGUGCAGAAGAGGACAGUGGAACUCCAUGUGUAGCGGUGAAAUGCGUAGAUAUAUGGAAGAACACCAGUGGCGAAGGCGGCUGUCUGGUCUGCAACUGACGCUGAGGCUCGAAAGCAUGGGUAGCGAACAGGAUUAGAUACCCUGGUAGUCCAUUGCCGUAAACGAUGAUUACUAAGUGUUGGAGGGUUUCCGCCCUUCAGUGCUGCAGCUAACGCAUUAAGUAAUCCGCCUGGGGAGUACGACCGCAAGGUUGAAACUCAAAAGAAUUGACGGGGGCCCGCACAAGCGGUGGAGCAUGUGGUUUAAUUCGAAGCUACGCGAAGAACCUUACCAGGUCUUGACAUCUUCUGACAGUCUAAGAGAUUAGAGGUUCCCUUCGGGGACAGAAUGACAGGUGGUGCAUGGUUGUCGUCAGCUCGUGUCGUGAGAUGUUGGGUUAAGUCCCGCAACGAGCGCAACCCUUAUUACUAGUUGCCAGCAUUAAGUUGGGCACUCUAGUGA